AUUGAACGCUGGCGGCAUGCCUUACACAUGCAAGUCGAACGGUAACGGGCCUUCGGGUGCCGACGAGUGGCGAACGGGUGAGUAAUACAUCGGAACGUGCCCGAUCGUGGGGGAUAACGAGGCGAAAGCUUUGCUAAUACCGCAUACGAUCUACGGAUGAAAGCAGGGGACCGCAAGGCCUUGCGCGGACGGAGCGGCCGAUGGCAGAUUAGGUAGUUGGUGGGAUAAAAGCUUACCAAGCCGACGAUCUGUAGCUGGUCUGAGAGGAUGAUCAGCCACACUGGGACUGAGACACGGCCCAGACUCCUACGGGAGGCAGCAGUGGGGAAUUUUGGACAAUGGGCGCAAGCCUGAUCCAGCCAUGCCGCGUGCAGGAUGAAGGCCUUCGGGUUGUAAACUGCUUUUGUAUGGAACGAAAAGCCUUCUUUUAAUACAGGAGGGUCAUGACGGUACCGUAAGAAUAAGCACCGGCUAACUACGUG
This 482-nucleotide ribosomal RNA is filed under the name uncultured bacterium. RNAcentral's name for it is "partial 16S ribosomal RNA". It matches the Rfam family "Bacterial small subunit ribosomal RNA", at positions 30 to 507 of the family's 1533-position model. The record is from RNAcentral.